ACUUGAUGGCACUGGUGUUGGAGGAGGUGUUUCAGGAACCAGAACCAUUCAUGGUGGAGCUGCAGAAAAUGCCUGACUCUCAAAAAGAAGGAGGGGUGGCUCGACACGUGUCCAGGUGUAGUCAAGGGGCGGGCCGAAGCCAACAUACUGUCCAGUUGGGUCAGGAAACUCGGGGCGAAUCCUCAGGACGACACACAACAGGACAACCACUCUGCAGUCUGCCAAGUGUCUGCACAGCCUGUAUGGAGACAAUAUAGUUGGAUGUAAAAAUGUUACUUCUCAUUGUAUAUUUACACGUAUAGUUCUACACAUUUAAAUGUUUUUUUAACCUUAGCUGAGAAUAAAGAACUUUCAAGAAA
Labrus mixtus (cuckoo wrasse) is the source of this 359-nucleotide long non-coding RNA. RefSeq lists it as uncharacterized. The record is from RefSeq and is a predicted model, not a curated record. Lineage: Eukaryota; Metazoa; Chordata; Actinopteri; Labriformes; Labridae. The transcript is spliced from 2 exons.